This is a long non-coding RNA of Cyprinus carpio carpio, 455 nucleotides long. The record is from Ensembl. Lineage: Eukaryota; Metazoa; Chordata; Actinopteri; Cypriniformes; Cyprinidae.
GUAAAGUUAGUGAACUAACUUUGAUGUUGGCUUGGCCUUGGGCCAAAAGAGCCACUGUACUUGUGUGUCCAACCUUCUUGAGCUGCCUUGGUGGAAAAAAAAAAUCUUCCAACAGUAUUUUUCUAUGGACCCUUGCUGUUUUCUUUUCCAAUAAAAAGCCUAGGCUAAGACAACAGCUUCAACAGGUUCGGCUAGAUGCAUGCGAAAUAAGUCAUGCCUUUUUUCCCCUGUUUGCUAUUUCCCAUUCCUCUAACUGAAGUAUUGUAGGCAACAACACAGAAGGUAAAAGAAACAAUGUGGUUUAAGUCAAGGUGAAAAUAGAUAUGAAAAUAGAUAACUAAUAUAGUUUCCCUUCUUCACUUUAUGUGUGAUAACUUGAGAAAUAUGUUGUCAAUACUAUUAAAAUGAGAAAAAAACGUAAUGGUACUUAGGGGAUUACAGUUUUUGCAUAAAUA